UACGUAGGGUGCAAGCGUUAAUCGGAAUUACUGGGCGUAAAGGGCGCGCAGGCGGCCUGUUAAGUCAGAGGUGAAAUCCCCGGGCUUAACCUGGGAAUGGCCUAUGGGACUGGCAGGCUAGAGGAUGGCAGAGGGAGGCGGAAUUCCACGUGUAGCAGUGAAAUGCGUAGAGAUGUGGAGGAACACCGAUGGCGAAGGCAGCCUCCUGGGUUAAUCCUGACGCUCAUGCACGAAAGCGUGGGGAGCAAACAGG
RNAcentral lists this ribosomal RNA (253 nucleotides) under uncultured bacterium. RNAcentral describes it as "partial 16S ribosomal RNA". It matches the Rfam family "Bacterial small subunit ribosomal RNA", at positions 524 to 776 of the family's 1533-position model. The record is from RNAcentral.